UAAAAAUUAAAAAGUUCAAAGUGGAGGAGAAACGAGAAAAUUAUAAAAUGUUCGCUUGAUUAAUAGACUUGUGCAAAUGUUUCAUAUCUUGAUCACAAUGUAUCAUGUGUGAAAGGAGGCGAAGCUUUGGGAAUCACAAAUGGAUUUCGAGGAUGCGCUAUUUGGCUGGCAGGAUUAUCUGGAGUCUCAAGAACUGAUAACCAGUUGGAGUAUAACCUACCAUAACAACACGUCUUCCUUCAGCUCUGAAUUUAGGACCAACUUUUCGAUGUACCUUGAUAUAGGCUAUGCAGCCAAAUCUUUUCAACUGAUUGAUAUCAAAGUGAUGAUCAGGAGCGAAUCUUUCCAAUGGAGUUAUCAUAUCAUUUGCUUUAUGUGGCGUUCUAUUAUAUGCAUAUACAGCAGCG
This is a long non-coding RNA of Leptopilina boulardi, 407 nucleotides long. RefSeq lists it as uncharacterized. The record is from RefSeq and is a predicted model, not a curated record. The transcript has 3 exons. Lineage: Eukaryota; Metazoa; Arthropoda; Insecta; Hymenoptera; Figitidae.